GUGUAUUUGGAAAUAUCCCUAAUACAGGAUCACUUGGAUCCGUCGGCGAUGACGAGCGCGAAAGAAUGCGAAAAGUCCUCACGGAAUGCUCUAAUUAUGAGAUAAUCUCAUGGAUACUCCCUGGACUUAAGCAUAUCAUUAAGGGAAGGAAAAGAAACUAACUAGGAUUCCGUUAGUAGUGGCGAAUGAACACGGAAGAGCUCCAAUGGUAAAGCCUAAGUGCUGUUGUAUGUAGCCUCCGAAAACAUUCUGGAAAGGAUGACACAGUGGGUGAUAGUCCAGAGGAGAUGUAAGAUAGAGUAUGCUGCUGUAUGCAGUAUGAGAGAGUAGAACUCUAAGCUAAUACGACGAUACGAUGAGAGAAUAUGCGACGAAGUGA
Molecule: non-coding RNA, 379 nt
Filed under: Enterocytozoon bieneusi H348
Lineage: Eukaryota; Fungi; Microsporidia; Enterocytozoonidae
Description: Archaeal large subunit ribosomal RNA
Rfam family: Archaeal large subunit ribosomal RNA
Source: Rfam by way of RNAcentral